ACGAACGCUGGCGGCGUGCCUAAUACAUGCAAGUUGAGCGCUGAAGGUUGGUACUUGUACCAACUGGAUGAGCAGCGAACGGGUGAGUAACGCGUGGGGAAUCUGCCUUUGAGCGGGGGACAACAUUUGGAAACGAAUGCUAAUACCGCAUAAAAACUUUAAACACAAGUUUUAAGUUUGAAAGAUGCAAUUGCAUCACUCAAAGAUGAUCCCGCGUUGUAUUAGCUAGUUGGUGAGGUAAAGGCUCACCAAGGCGAUGAUACAUAGCCGACCUGAGAGGGUGAUCGGCCAAAUUGGGACUGAGACACGGCCCAAACUCCUACGGGAGGCAGCAGUAGGGAAUCUUCGGCAAUGGAAGAAAGUCUGACCGAGCAACGCCGCGUGAGUGAAGAAGGUUUUCGGAUCGUAAAACUCUGUUGGUAGAGAAGAACGUUGGUGAGAGUGGAAAGCUCAUCAAGUGACGGUAACUACACAGAAAGAGACGGCUAACUACGUG
This 496-nucleotide ribosomal RNA is filed under the name uncultured bacterium. Its description in RNAcentral is "partial 16S ribosomal RNA". It matches the Rfam family "Bacterial small subunit ribosomal RNA", at positions 29 to 507 of the family's 1533-position model. The record is from RNAcentral.